RNAcentral lists this transfer RNA (69 nucleotides) under Rhizobium lentis. RNAcentral describes it as "tRNA-OTHER". It matches the Rfam family "tRNA". Rfam says of the family: Transfer RNA (tRNA) molecules are approximately 80 nucleotides in length. Their secondary structure includes four short double-helical elements and three loops (D, anti-codon, and T loops). The record is from RNAcentral. Lineage: Bacteria; Pseudomonadati; Pseudomonadota; Alphaproteobacteria; Hyphomicrobiales; Rhizobiaceae.
GUGCUGCGUAGCUCAGCGGAUAGAGUGCCCGUAGUUGGGAGGUCGCUGGUUCGAAACCAGCCGAGCACA